AAAGUAAAGGUAAAUGGCACCUUAGGAUGUCCAAUCUGUACUGGAAAAAAGAAGCUGGACUACAAGGAUUUGCUUCAACAUGCGUCAGGAGUCGCAAAGGUUUCUGCCAACAGGAGCGGAAAACAAAAGGCAAACCACCUUGUCUUAGCAGUGUAUUUGGAAAUUGACCUAGCAAAUGAAGCAGAUUAAAUUCAAUGUCCAGUUUUGCCACAAGCUGCCAAUCAAACUCCAGAGGAAGAUGAUGUCUUUUUACGGCCCUGGAUGGGAAUAGUAGUUAACAUUUUUAGUGAUCCAAAGGAUGGUAAUGUCGCAAUGUGUGAGAGUAGGUAUAGGUUGAAAAGGUUUGCUCAGUAUAAACCUUUGGA
Molecule: unclassified non-coding RNA, 365 nt
Filed under: Hevea brasiliensis (rubber tree)
Lineage: Eukaryota; Viridiplantae; Streptophyta; Magnoliopsida; Malpighiales; Euphorbiaceae
Source: RNAcentral